This 252-nucleotide ribosomal RNA is filed under the name uncultured bacterium. RNAcentral describes it as "partial 16S ribosomal RNA". It matches the Rfam family "Bacterial small subunit ribosomal RNA", at positions 524 to 776 of the family's 1533-position model. The record is from RNAcentral.
UACGUAGGGUGCAAGCGUUAAUCGGAAUUACUGGGCGUAAAGCGUGCGCAGGCGGUUGUGCAAGACCGAUGUGAAACUCCCCGGGCUUAACCUGGGAAUGGCAUUGGUGACUGCACGGCUAGAGUGUGUCAGAGGGGGUAGAAUUCCACGUGUGAGCAGUGAAAUGCGUAGAGAUGUGGAGGAAUACCGAUGGCGAAGGCAGCCCCUGGGAUAACACUGACGCUCAUGCACGAAAGCGUGGGAGCAAACAGG